ACAAAUAAAAAGAAUAAGAUAAUCAUGUAAAACCAGACUACAUUAGCACGCAUUUGGCAUAUUAUAUAGCAAUAUUUGGCCACAAUAUGGAUAACAUCCGGGUUAAGGUUAGUAAGCAAAAUAACUGCCCGCAAAUCCCAACGGACAUUGGCCCCAACAUGAUGCCACCCUCCAAGCAUUCUGCCCCCUCCCUCAAGCUCUCUCUCCAACUUGCUGUGCUCCAAACAAUCCUCCCAUCCAAACAAGCCUCAGACCAAAGUGCGCUACUCCUAAUUUGUCCAACUCCCUCACUCAGUGCCACAGCAAGGUGACAUAGCAGACACUACUUUUCUAUUCAGCAUGAACCCAAAGCAAAGAGUAGUCCAUUCCUCCCUGAAACGCCUGUGUGAAUGGUAGCAAAGGCGCAGAUGAAGCAAAGGGGUCAGUGCACAGUUCUUCAUCUCCCACCUUAUCCUCACAAGAACCCUGUGAGAUCCUCACACCAGCCACAUCACUGGCCUUCUGACCACCCUCCCCCCAGAGAAAAAUAUGGUAAAGGUGACAUUCAUGGAAUAAAUGACCUGGACUCUUUGUCGGGUGAGAUGGAGCUGGCGGUCAGUUUCUUGACCAGGAAAUGGCUGCUCUCACGUAGCACUGGAGAACUGUGGAUCAGUAUUCUCCAUUAAUGCAUCAUCCCUCACAACUGGACUCUUCAUAGAGAUUGUGUGAAAAAUUAGGAAGAGUUUUAAUGCUCUAAAACUAUGUAAAAGUUUUCUCUCUGCAUUACUUCCAUCUAGUUAGAUCUACCUACUGAAAAUGGAAAGCGUUCUUUGUAGUCUUUGUAUUGGCCAUUUAAAAGAGAUCUAGGAACAUAACACUCUAAAGUAAUAGAAAUACUUUUAUGCCAUACAUUCUCUUAAUUUAAAUAUAUGUUAUCCUGGGCAACUAUACUGUGCACAAUAUGCAUUAAAGGUUUGAUCAUUUUCAUUAAUAUUUGUAGGUAAUAUACUUUGGAAGUGAAGACUGCCUGGAAAAAAACAUGAUUAGAUUUGAGGUGUUAUUUUUAAUCAUUGUAUACGAAGGGCUAUAAUUAUUCCAUCCUGUUAUUUGCAAACGUAGUAAAAAUGAUUAUGAAGCAAGCUAGACUAAAAAACAAUAUAUGGAACAGAUAUUAAGGAUUAAAUGUAACAAUUGUAAAGGGCUGUAUGAUGUAGUUGUUGGGAAUUAGGAUCAUUUUAUAGAAUAAUGCUCUACUGCAGAAAUAAUGAGCACAAAGCAUAUUAUAUAAUAUUUCCACAUAUUAAAUAUUGCACAUUUUGAAAAGGAAACAUCAUAUAUAUGAUAUAAUAAUUAAGAGGCACCCAUGCAGUGCAUAUUAUAAAACAGUGCUACCAUUUUUACAAAACAAGGAAGUUGUGUGUUUAUGCACUCAUGUGAAUAGCAGUACAAUCACAGACACUAAAGAGGUCAUUAAAAUAUGCAAAAUAGUUAAUUAUACAAUUGCAUAUGUAUGAUCCAUAGUAUUACUUGCAAAUAAUUAUAAAUGUUUUCUGCUAAUAUUAAAUGCUUUGUAUCAUAUAUAAAUUACCAAAAAUGAAAUGCAAUUAAAUUAUAAGUUCCAGCUUUCCCUUAAAUUGUAUAGAAAAUAAUAAUGCAUCAUGUUACAAGACAUGAGCAUUUUUAGUAUAGUAUUGUACAGAAUAUCUAUUUCAACAAAAUAUUCAAUUUCAUUUGCAAAUAUAACAGUAGUGUACUACAUACUGUAUAUAAAAGAUUAGCAUAACUCAUAGGACAACAAAAUUACUGUUUUCAGGUAUAUUUAGAAGCAUUUUGUUAAAUUUAAAAAAACUACUCCGUGGCAGGUAAAUUUAGGAAAAAAUUUGGAGGGAGGAUUUUAUGCUCAAUAUAUUGUAUGUAAAAUCUAUGACAGAUAAAAAUCAUUAUAUGCAAAAAAUGAAUAUGACAGGCUUCUAAGAGUUUGCAUGUAAGCUAGAUUGUGUACAUAAGAUAUGAUAUAUCACUCAAAAUAUUAAAAUUCUAUGCAAAACUAACUAUGGAUUUUGCAUACAUUGAAUACAUAACAUGAAUAACCAAAUUGCAUUGAUGAAAAGUAGACAUUGUUAGCAUUAAUGGCUACCUUAAAAAUUCUUUGCACAUAAUUUAGGGACACAAUCUAGAACUUUGCAUGUCAUAUUUAAAGUUGGUUGAUUAAUGUACAGUAGAUAUGUUAUUUGUAAAAGCAUUAAUAACAUUCUGAGAUAGAUCAGAUAGAAAAUGUUAAAAACUGACAUUUAAAUGCCUACUGGAAAUAGAUAGGAGUUUUGUAAGCAUCUUCAAAGUAUAUGAUCAACAUAUGACAAUCUGAUAUGAAUAUAUGCAAAGUGGUGUUCAAAGUAAGAAGUGUCUGUUAAUUAAUCUAUACUCUUAGAGAGAAAGAUUGCCAUACUAAGAAUGAUUGUCUCCAAUAACUCAGACUAUUCUAUCAAACAACAAAUACGAGAAAGCUUCAAUCCAUUCUUGAAAUGUAAAAUAUGAUCCAUAUAUAUAUAUAGCCAUAUAUGGUGUGUGUGUGUGUGUGUGUGUGUAUAUAUAUGCCAACUUUUGCAACACUGCAUCUUUAAUAUUUUGCAUCCAAAGCCAUGUAGAAACACCAGUAUUAAGUGAAUGAAAUAUAGGAAAGCAUCUAACUUCACAUUAAUUUUACAUUAGCAUAUACACUGAAAAUCCUUAUUAUAUGAAAUAUAUUUAGGAUGUGUUCAAAACAUUGUACAAAAUACAAAACAUUAAGAGUAGUAGGAGCAGUUUGGUUACAAAGGUCAAAUUUGGUUAGUAAUGCAUAUAAACAUCCUGAAGCAUUUGGAGCAAAGGAAAAUCAGAAAUAAUACCUAUUGCACAUGAUACGUGCUGUUGGAUUGUGAUGUUUUAUUUGUCCUAAGACCGAGUUUCUCAUGCUUCACAUUUCUGCUGUUCAACUUUAUUGCAUACCUACCACAUGUUGCAUUGUUCAUUAUCUAUGGUGUGCUCUCAGGGACUAUAAAUUAAUUCUCAUUAGCCAAAUGCUUAAAGUUAAUAAUAAUAUGCACAAUAUUCACCGUAAAUAUAUAAUUCUGUUAGUAUUUAAUAGUUUGCAGUUAAUUUAAAGGACGUAGUACUAUCUGCACAGGGUAGUAAGAUAAUUAUACAAACAUAAUAAAAUUGUUUGUUUGGCAGACAAGCACACCAACAUUAACGCAAUACACUUUCAAUAUUAGGUGUCCACAGAAAACCCAGAAGCUGGUACAAAAUAACAAAUUUUGAUAAGCCAAAAUGCAUGGUGUGAAUUUUCAAUACUACUGCAAUGUAAACAUCCAUUACUGCAUACUUUCCAAAUUUACAUAUCACAUUAAAUCAGUAUUCCGUGCACAAUUAAAAUUGAGAAUGUUCUGUCCCAUAAUUAAAGUUGUCUAAAAUGCAUCCUGAAGAGAACAGGUAUUACAAAUGACAAUAUGGUUAAGAAUAAAAGUGCUUAAGUGAAGCAUUUUAGAAAUAGAGACCCCAAAACAAGGAGCUGUUGCAUUAACUGACGGGAGGUUAGAAUGGAAAAUUAUUUCCUCUGUUAUCUGAAUCAUCCUUCUUAUUCUGAGUCUACAGGUUGUGGUAAAUGGCAAUUAAAGGCAUUGUGAGUGAUACAGACAGGGGAUUCUAGACAUUGUACUCCGUAGGUUUUAUUUUAGUGUUAUGUGGAAUGCUAGCAAGCGAAGGGCAACACGCAGAAUUUUUAUUCGGUGGAAAAAAUACCUAUUCUAUUAGUUCCCAAGGGGGGUGGGAUGUUGUGUGCCACAGCUCAGUAUCACAGCCCAUAAGCAUUAUCACAAGAGGUGCUUUUGCACCAAUUUCACUGCAAAAUUGACAAAACAAACCUCCUCCCCUCCUCCUUUAAACUGGGAAAUCAGACUGGAUUCACUAUUUGAAGUAAUUUUAGACCAAAAGCUCAUUAGCCGCCUACAAAUAUGUGCUUAGUUUUUCUGCAACUAUAGCUACAGAAUUCCAGCCAUAUUAAACUGUUAAUUCAACCUCACUCUCGGCUUGGCUGGUGCUCCCAAGCCACAACCAACAUGCCUGAUGCUUUUAUGUCAUUUUCCUCUGUGUGUCUGACCACAAAGCCUUAGUCCAUGCUUGCUAAGAAGGCUGAGUCGUGUCCAGAGAUACCAAAGGCCAACAGCUAUUUUGUACACUUUUGGUUUAGCAUCUCUUCAGCAACAUAAUUUAAAAUCACACUUUGCUGUUUCAAUUAACUUUGCACAAACAUUGCACAUCCCAAUUUGCAAUCCAGUGAAGCCCCAAGAACAUUUAAGUACUGGAUUAUACCUCCUCUAGCAUAGCAGUGACAGACACACGUAUCUCAUGAACAAAUGCCAGGGGGUGGGUGGGGAGAAAUAAUAGGAAGUGAUGCCUCUCCAUUGACCAAAUGCAGCAAACAGGAGGGGGGAUAUCCUAAUGGAAAACCAGCUCCAGCAACCUCAAAAAUAAAUAAAUAGAUAGAUAACUAUAUAUAGAUAACUAUAUAUAACUAUAUAAUGAAUAGAUAGAUAGAUAGAUAGAUAGAUAGAUAGAUAGAUAGAUAUUCUGGGUUUCAAAAAAAUAUUGGUGUGUGAUUGGUCUUGGUGACUCUUUGUAACAAAAUAGAGUGGUUUGGUUUGUAUUAAAUUCAUGGUUUCCUUGCCACAGGGACUCAGAAGGGAUCCUGUGAAAGCUGUAGUUUUUCCAACAAAAUUGCUUUGAAAUAGAACACUAGAAACUUGUGGCAAGGAAAUAUUGGGAGUCUCAAAGGGUUAUUUGGUAGCACACCAACAAAGGAUGUUGUUAACAUUAAAAAUCAUGUUAAUACCCAAAGUUAAUUAUUAGCCAUAAAAUUGGCUAAUAAUGUCUAUGUGGUCGCUAAGAGUCAACACCGACUUGACGGCACGUAAUCAGUCAUUACAAAUGAUACUUUCCCCAUGUCUGAUCUAGAGGCCUUCUUCACCUGUAGCAAAAACUAUAACUCAGGAAUCUGUAACUCUUGCUUGAAGCGGCAACCUUUUACGUCCUGAUUUGUACCCCCAUAAAUAAAGAGAAUCUAGAAGUCCUGAUGCCCCCUCUAACUCCAUGCACAUUUCUGGUCAGCAUUUAGUUUUGCUAGAGCACUGUUUCAAGAUUGGCAUGAAUAGGUGGUCGCCCCCCCCCACAGCCCCACACUUGAAAACAGCUUUCUAGCUAAUUCUAUUGCCAGAACUGCAACUGCCUCCACACUCCUCUUUUACCUGUGGAUUGGCAAUAUGGUGGGCCAAAAGGCAGCUUUUAGGGAGCCAGGUUUGACUGAAGGGCCACCAGUCGCUGAACCAUGCAGCAUUUGGUUGUUUUUAUUUCACUGCCACCAUUUAACAGAGAAAAAAGUAGAAAUACUGAUUUGACAUCAAGAAUAAGACCUGAGCAAGCCACUUCAAUAAAGUAUGGUGGUGCCCCCUACCGAAGGAUUUGGGAAUGUCAGCUUCCAAGCAUCCACCUCCCAGCAAUCCAGGAAACACACGAAUAUGGACAUUACCACACACUGGAGAGGUUGCAGGAUUGCUCUACAGGAUCAGGCCAAGGCAUGCAACCAAAGGGCAAACAAAAACCAUUGGUCAGAGCAGCAGGUCAAGGUCCCAGAAGGCAGCCCAGGCAAGCAAGGCAGGUAUGGAGAGAGAAAGAAGUGAGACUGGUGGAACUGGGAGGCACCUUUGCAAUAUUUGCAGAGUAAAGCAGUCAGGACCCACAUACCCUGAGCAGCUGCUCAUGCAAUCUUGACAAGGUGAGGCUGGCCAGAUUGUAAACACCAGUCCUGGAUCCUGUCUUGGGCCCAAACACUGGGUCAGAACAUAGUCCUGUUGGCCAAGAAACACCAGAAUGGGAACUCCAGAUGAAGGGCAGGGCCUUCUGACUCUCUCACCCUCCAAAAGCCAGUCCAAUCCAUACCAGGGAUUUCACACUCCCCCGUGCCUUGCAUACCAGUGCUAAUGACAGGAGAAAGGAACUUAAUGGAGAGGAGAAAGAGUGUAAGACUCCAGGCCAUAAGGCUGCCCCUAUAAGGUUCUCUCCCUUGGCGCCGGGAAGGGUUAUCCUGUACCUAAUAGUAUUUCAGGCUUCAGACCAUCUCCAGGGCGCUUUCCAGACUAGCUGCUCAGCAGUAGCAAAAUGCCUCUGUUUGGGCAAGUCACAUGCGAAAGGUAAACAGUCUUGCAGCAACCAACCACCUGAAAAAAAAAGCAGCUUUUUCACACCAGAUAUACGAUGUCCUAGCUCUAUAUUGCAGCGACUGAAUUCAAAACAAGGCAUUGGAAAUGUGAACGGUACCCUGCUGUCUACGUAGGGACUGUGGUGUCACAACGCAGGAAGUGUGGAAGCACACUUCUAAUAAACGUCUGGACCCCGUUGUAGGGACUAGUCUGGAAAGCACCCAGAUCGUAUUGGAGCAAUGUUGCCCACUUUGUGCUAUCCAAGGUACUGCAACUCCAGCCUGCCUUGCUGCCUCUACCUUCCAGAUGCCUCAUCAGACCUCUUGGGUUCCUGCUCAUGGACAGAAUAAAACACAAGCAAGUACAGCAAAAAUAAGUAGGGGCAGAGUAAGAACAGAGUCUGUCAGUGGCACCCAGAGAUGCUUGAUUGCACAAAUUGGGCUGACAAGAAGAGGAAGUUGUACAGGAAUGGGUGGGGACUAAGCAGGAAGGGGUGGAGCAAAGCAAAGAGCAAGUACCAGUUGCAGGGGAGUAACAGCAGGGGAGAUGGCAUGCCCUUAACUCCUGCCUGUGGCUUCCAGCAGCAUCUGGUGGGCCACUGUGCGAAAUAGGAUGCUGGACUAGAUAAGCCUUAGGCCUGAUCCAGCAGGGCUGUUCUUAUGUAAACCUAAUUGGACUUUACAAAUGCAAUAUCAAGGCUCCAGCCUAGCCUUGGAAGGUUAAAAUUAACCGGUGGCUGAUGACCCCAACAUACCUCCCGAUAUCUGUGUGACUAAAACAUUUUCAGAAUUACAGAAGAUGCUAGCAAAGGUAGUGUGGAAGCACACUUCCAAAUGAGGCA
Hemicordylus capensis (graceful crag lizard) is the source of this 7050-nucleotide long non-coding RNA. RefSeq lists it as uncharacterized. The record is from RefSeq and is a predicted model, not a curated record. Lineage: Eukaryota; Metazoa; Chordata; Lepidosauria; Squamata; Cordylidae. The transcript has 5 exons.